This 469-nucleotide ribosomal RNA is filed under the name uncultured bacterium. RNAcentral's name for it is "bacterial SSU rRNA". It matches the Rfam family "Bacterial small subunit ribosomal RNA", at positions 365 to 824 of the family's 1533-position model. The record is from RNAcentral.
UUCGCAAUGCCCGAAAGGGUGACGAAGCGACGCCGCGUGGGUGAAGAAGGCCUUCGGGUUGUAAAACCCUGUCAGGAGUUAUGAAAUGUAAGUGCGCUAAUAUCGUGCUUAUUUGACAAAGGCUCCAAAGGAAGCCACGGCUAACUCUGUGCCAGCAGCCGCGGUAAUACAGAGGUGGCGAGCGUUGUUCGGAAUUAUUGGGCGUAAAGAGCACGUAGGUGGGUUUGCAAGUCAGAUGUGAAAGCCUUCUGUUCAACGGGAGAAUUGCAUCUGAAACUGCUAAUCUUGAGUAUAGGAGGGGAGAAUGGAACUUCUGGUGGAGCGGUGAAAUGCGUAGAUAUCAGAAGGAAUGCCGGCGGCGAAAGCGAUUCUCUGGCCUAUUACUGACACUCAGUGUGCGAAAGCUAGGGGAGCAAACGGGAUUAGAUACCCCGGUAGUCCUAGCCGUAAACGAUGGGCACUAAGUAGA